This 3225-nucleotide long non-coding RNA is filed under the name Malus domestica (apple). RNAcentral's name for it is "long non-coding RNA (MDOM_LNC003547)". Lineage: Eukaryota; Viridiplantae; Streptophyta; Magnoliopsida; Rosales; Rosaceae. The record is from RNAcentral.
AACUUUCUAAAUAAAACUUAAAUUUUAGGUUCUAAACUUACCUUAACUUGCUCCAACCCUUGGGGCGAAUAUAAGUUAAAACUCAAAACUUAUUUCAGUGCCAAAUUUAACCCAGGAUUUCCUCAUGAUUAGUGGGGCUGGUCCACCAUAUAUGUAUAUAUUUUUUAGUUUAUAUUUAUAAAUUCAUUGAAUUCAACGGUUAAGAUCUAAUUUGAUAAAAUCCAAAGGCUAACGUAAAUUAAAAAGAAAUUCUUUUAUGUGUUUCAUAUUUUUUUUCAUACUAUUUCACAAGUUUCAUGGUGUCGGUUAGUGAUUUUUCAAUAUUUGUCGGAAUCUAAAUAUUUUUAGGUUAAAAUGUUCAUAAAGUUAAAUUAGGAUACUCUACAUAAUUUUUUCUUUUCAAAAAGUUACUUCAAGAAACAAUUAGCUUAAAUUCAUUCUUUAAUAAUAUGGAGCUAAAAUUUUAACCUAGAAGAGUUAGAGCAAAAAAGUUGUUUUUAGGUUAAAAGGUAAAUUUUCUGAACUAAAAAUUUUAGAUUUUAACCCAAAUGUUGAAGAUGGUCUUAGGGGUGGGUAUAUGCACAAAAAGUUUCAAACGUCCAGGGAGGACAAAAGUUGAAAAUUUGGGGAGGCAAGGAUUAGUCACUUUCACAUACUUAAAAAAUAUUUGAUAGUUAAUAAUGCUACUACUUUAAAAUUUUCUUUUAAAUAUGCUUUAAUUAAAAGAAAAAUUGGUCCAAAUACAUUUGGUAAGGCAUCUUUUAAUAAAAUAUACGCACAAAAGACGACCGAGAAAAAAUAACUAGAGAUUAGACAAAAAAAAAAAACAUAAAAAAUAUAAAGACGAAAUUGUUCAAGCACUUUCCUUGCACAAACCAUGUGCGUUCAAAAUGGAAGAAAAUGUUAAUAUAUCUCUAGUUGAGGACUUAAAGAAAGAAAGGUGAAAUUAAGAAUGAAUGCAGCUCCUCCUGAAGCGAGGAAGUUUCCCAGUGCUAGGGGAGGACAGAGUCAGCCGGUUCCUUCCACUCUAUCUCUAUCCAACGAUGAAAAGUAUACUGUAUACAUGAUUUUUUUAAAUGAGUUUUAACGAAACACUUUUGGUAUUGUUCACUUUUAAUGAAAAAUGACAUUUUACCUUUCUUGUUACUAUUCACUUACACAUUUAUUUGUUAUUUUUCAUUAAAACUAAAAGUUUAUGAAGACUUUUCGUUAGUUUUCUUUUUUUUUAAAGCGGAUCACAUACACUAUUUUAAAGCAAGCUAUUUCUCAUUAAUUGACGUAUUUACACGUUUUAUGUACAAAUUUUUUAACAUUUCUAGUUAGUGACCAAUUUCUUUCAAGAAAUUUCCGACUACUUUCAAUCAAGUACCUUUUUAUAAUUCCUAAAAAAUUAAAACAAGUCAGUUUCACACUACAAAAUCAUGUCCUUCACUAUUGGAGAUUGCUUAAGAUUUGGAAUCUAUUUUUCGAAGGCUAUUAGAAGGUCAUAAGAGAGCCCAAAGCUCAGCGUGAAAGCAAGCGAGAAAAAUUUGUGUGGAGGUGGCUAAUCAUGUUAUUUAUACGAGAAUAAUUUUAAUACCAAUAUAGCGGUGAUGACACGUACUUUAAAAUGUAUUUACUAUCAUUAUUAAAAAGAUUUUUUGCGUUUCUUAUAAAUAUAUGUAUAUAGGAAAGUAUAGGUUUAGCAUGAGACUUCCACGUGAGGUGCUUGUAAAUAGUUAGUCAUGCGGUUUGUAUCUAUCAGCUGAUCAAAAUUUACCAGCUUGCCACCCAAACCAACCAAUUAGAAACCAGCAGAAUAAGCCGCAGAAGACGAAGAAGAAAAUGUUAAUGAUCAGCAGCACAUGUACCACAGAGUCCAAUUCAUAGGGAUUGGCAAAAUACCAUGAAUUUGGGUAACCGCGGUUAUGGAUAUGGUUAAUCAUUUAUAAACAAUUAUGAGUAUAGAUAUAACUGUUUAUGCAAUUACCUAAUGGGUAAACGAUUAUACGGGUAUGAACAUAAAUGGUUAUAGGUAAAUAACCUAGCUUACCCGUCCGUCAUAACCGUUGCCUAUCUCUAAUUACGAUCGCGAUGAUGAUGAUGUUAAAAACUUGAAUGAACCCAAUCAACUCCAUCUCUCUGUCUUAGAUCAGGUAGCAGAAGGAGAAUCUUAACUACAAUUGCACCUAAGACUAGAUCAGAGUUUAGUCCUUAUUAGUGGGAGGUAUAUGCACAAAGUUUCAAACGUCCAGGGAGGACAAAAAUUGAAAAUUUGGAGAAACAAGGAUUAGUCACUUUCACAUACUUAAAAAAUAUUUGAUAAUUAAUAAUGCUACUCUUUAAAAUUUUCUUUUAAAUAUUCCUAAUUAAAAGAAAAAUUUGUCCACAGCAAUUUUUAUAAGGUAUCUUUCAAUAAAAUAUACUCACAAACCACGAUCCAGAAAAAUCACUAAAGAUUAGACCAAAAAAAAAACAUAAAAAAUAUAAAGACGAGAUUGCUCAAGCACUUUCCUUGCAGAAACCAUGUGCGUUCAGACGGAAGAAAAUGUUAUAAUAUAUGAUAUCUAGUUGAGGACUUAAAGAAAGAAAGGUGAAAUUAAGAAUGAAUGAAUGGAUGCAGCUCCUCCUCAUGCGUGGAAGUUUCCUGGUGCUAGUGGAGGACAGAGUCAGCCGACUCCUUCCACUCUACACAACAAAGCAAAGUAUAUUUUAUUUUUUAAAGCGGAUUACAUACACACCUUAAAAUCUUUCAAAAUUUUCAACGCAAAUUUAUAUUCAACAAUGUAUGUCAUACAUUGAUGUAUCUCAUAAUUUUUCCAAAUUAGCCAAUAUUCAACUUAGUGAAUAUGCAAUAAUCAAUUUCAAUGGUCAUAUUCUGGCAAGAGAAAAUUUUAUACAUAUAUUAUUAUCAAAAAGAGAAGGGACACAAUUAACAAUGCAUAGGACUCAUCUCUUAAAUUCUUUGGCGCACAUCUAUAUACAAUUGUUAAAUUCAACAAUGUGUCUCAUACAUUGAUGCACCUCAUAAUUUUAAUGAUCUACAACACAUUUGCAAGAGAGAAAUGAUACGCUCCAUCAAUCUAUCUCUGUUUAUGUCAAUACACUAACAAUGGACUUGUAGCUUGUAAGUAUAAAAAAAGAAAGGAAAAUACCCCAAAAUGAGACAAUUUCUUAAUAUUGGGACACAAAUAGGACAAACCGGUCAUGAACAAGUCAUGCACAAAACAGAAAUUACUAAAUACC